This 338-nucleotide ribosomal RNA is filed under the name uncultured bacterium. RNAcentral's name for it is "partial 16S ribosomal RNA". It matches the Rfam family "Bacterial small subunit ribosomal RNA", at positions 338 to 693 of the family's 1533-position model. The record is from RNAcentral.
CCUACGGGAGGCUGCAGUAGGGAAUAUUGCUCAAUGGGGGAAACCCUGAAGCAGCAACGCCGCGUGGAGGAUGAAGGUUUUCGGAUUGUAAACUCCUUUUGUUAGAGAAGAGAAUGACGGUAGCUAACGAAUAAGCACCGGCUAACGCCGGGCCAGCAGCCGCGGUAAUACGGAGGGUGCAAGCGUUACUCGGAAUGACUGGGCGUAAAGAGCGCGGAGGCGGGAUAGCCAGUCAGAUGUGAAAUCCUAGGGCUUAACCCUAGAACUGCAUUUGAAACUGUUAUUCUAGAGUAUGGGAGAGGUCGGUUGCAUUCUUGUUGUAGGGGUCACAUCCGUAG